AAUGAACGCUGGCGGCAUGCCUAACACAUGCAAGUCGAACGAAGUCUUCGGACUUAGUGGCGCACGGGUGCGUAACGCGUGGGAAUCUGCCCUUGGGUGCGGAAUAACUUCUCGAAGGGGAUGCUAAUACCGCAUAAUGUCGUAAGACCAAAGAUUUAUCGCCCAAGGAUGAGCCCGCGUAAGAUUAGCUAGUUGGUGGGGUAAAAAGCCUACCAAGGCGACGAUCUUUAGCUGGUCUGAGAGGAUGAUCAGCCACACUGGGACUGAGACACGGCCCAGACUCCUACGGGAGGCAGCAGUGGGGAAUAUUGGACAAUGGGCGAAAGCCUGAUCCAGCAAUGCCGCGUGAGUGAUGAAGGCCCUAGGGUUGUAAAGCUCUUUACCAGGGAUGAUAAUGACAGUACCUGGAGAAUAAGCUCCGGCUAACUCCGUGCCAGCAA
Molecule: ribosomal RNA, 440 nt
Filed under: uncultured bacterium
Lineage: Bacteria
Description: bacterial SSU rRNA
Rfam family: Bacterial small subunit ribosomal RNA
Source: RNAcentral